This 1200-nucleotide ribosomal RNA is filed under the name Triticum aestivum (bread wheat). RNAcentral describes it as "partial small subunit ribosomal RNA". Lineage: Eukaryota; Viridiplantae; Streptophyta; Magnoliopsida; Poales; Poaceae. The record is from RNAcentral.
AUGCAAGCACCAAAUCGAAAAGGGGCGCAGGAGGGGAAUCGAGGAGGAGUAGGGGGGAGUCGGAUCCAUGGACCUGGCCGCGAAACGGGGCCGGCUUCCGCCGUUCCGUCCGGACCGACGGGUUCCACAUCGGAGGCGGGGAGCGGAGCGCCGGAGGAGCCGCGGCCUCGGCGCGGGAGGCUGCCCCUCUGGCUCCGUGCUGCAUACAAGCGAUUGGUUCCACUUCUAUCUAGGGUUUCAGUCAACCUCCGAAUCCGGCCGCCGCGGCCCAACCUCGACCGAGAUGAGGACAGAUUCAGCGCGCUCCCCGACGACGUCCUUCGAGGAAUCCUGGAGCACCUCGACCUGUGCGAGGUGGUCCGCGCCCGCGCAGUCUCCACGCGGUGGCGGCACCUCCACCACCUGCUCCCGCGCCUGCAUCUCGACGUCCGCCACUUCGUCGGAGCCAAUUCGGCGGUCUUGAUCACUGGGAAUUCUCCGGUGGCCGACGUCAUGGAGGCAUUCACGGGCGCGCUGUGCAGUUUACUGUCUGCAUGUCCUCCUCCGGCCCAGUGCAAGUGCGCCAUCAAAACCCUCAGCCUCCGCUUCUUCCCGAUGUCGGACCUGAGCUCCAUAGGCCGCGCCGUCGAGGACGCUAUCGCCGGCGGCGAGAUUGAAUGCCUUGAAUUUCACACGUGCUCGCCAUACAGUUUACGGACUGGUUUCAACACUGAAGGGCUGCGUGCUGAGCUGGGGCAGCUGUUCAUGUCCUUCUCCCGUGCCUAUCCAGUUACCUUCCGGUGGCUCACGAUGCUUAAAUUCAACGACCUUGUGUUUGGCCAUUCUGACGUCACCGAUCUCAUUAGAGCUUGCAAUAGGCUCAGACACCUCACCCUGAGUUCCUGCGGACUGGUUGAUCGGCACUCUGUGCUCAAGAUCGACACGCCACGCUCAAGGCUCCAUGAGCUCUGCUUCAUUGGCUUUCGUUGCAGAUGGAUUGAGUUGAUCGAUGUACCCAAACUUACAGAAGUGCGAUUCCAAUCUUCACGCUUCGAAAACCCUCCGGUGCGGUUCGGCUAUGUUCCGGAGCUUCGCUGCUUGUUCAUCAUUUCCCGUAUCAUAAGCUUUUCGCCGCCACUCGCACUGAGUGGGUGUCUACCAUGGAGUUCCAGGAACUUCUCUAAUUUGUAUCUCGAUUUUGGCAGCCAAAUGGUGAGUUAA